Varanus komodoensis (Komodo dragon) is the source of this 4949-nucleotide RNA transcript. It is a transcript of the gene named dickkopf WNT signaling pathway inhibitor 4, with no coding region annotated. NCBI's taxonomy places the organism in Eukaryota, Metazoa, Chordata, Lepidosauria, Squamata, Varanidae. The record is from RefSeq and is a predicted model, not a curated record. The transcript is spliced from 5 exons.
CGGGGGGACAGGUGGCUGAUGCCUCCCCUCCCCGUUUGUUUUGACAUUGUGAUCAAAGGGAUUUGGAGAGCCUGGGGGGUCUGGAGAGGAAGAGAAUUGAGACGUGGCAAUAAACAAACAAGGGAGACUGAAUGGUCCGAGGCACAUUCUCGCUUCCAGCCACAGGUAUAAAAGGCCAUGCCUGUCCCGCAGUGGCCUCCACACUGAGGAAUCGGCACCCUCUCCCAGGCCUGCCAGGGAUGGGGAUGGAGGCCAGCCUGCUCCUGGGGCUCACCUGCCUCUGCUCCCCACUGACUGCUCUGGUCCUGAAUGGCAACACCAUCAGGGGGGCGGCUGAAGCAUCUGGCUCCAGGAAGAGCACGCCGUGCUUGACGGACCGAGACUGUCCGGCCGAGGGAUUCUGCCCGGAGCCCGGCGAGGAGCCGCCCUUCUGCGCCGCGUGCAGGGGGCUGCGGAAGAGGUGCCGCCGCAACGCCAUGUGCUGCCCAGGGACGCUCUGCCUCAACGACGUGUGCAGCCUGGCUGAAAAGAGCGCCUUGGCUGGAGAAAGGAGAGAGAGGGGCCAGGCUGGCCUGGGCUCCAAAGACCUGCUCCGGCACCCAGUUCCAGCAAGUCAUGCCCUAAAGGAAGGAGAUUCCCCCACACCACACGGCGGAGGUAUAUAGGAGACAAGAAAUAUUAUUUUCACUUCACUAUUUGUGGUGACUGAAAUGUGCAACUGGAACAUGUGAAGAUAUGCCUUGAUUUUAAACAUAACAUUCAAGAAAGAACUCAUACCUGCUUGGCAGAAUCAGAAGUGAAAUCUGGAUGAGUCAAGAGGAUAUCCAUAUCUCCACUUGAUUCUGCACCUAUGAAAAGAGUAUGUAUCAAGACACUAAAUCCUGCUUUGGAAAUCUUGCUCACAGGUUAAGAAAAAUCCAUCCAAAGUUACAAGAUUUCCAGAGGUUUUUUUGCAUUGGUUCUUCAGCUCUUUCAUGUUUGUUGAAGGUUCAACUACUGCCAUGAUUGUGUGAGCAACAGUCACGCUUACGCAACUUGAAGAGCACUGGAAAGCACCGCGACAGCUUUCCCUGUUCAGUCCUAUAGUUCACUGAGUAUAGAAAGAGAGCAAUACCAAGUGACCACGGUGUAGAGAAAAAGUCCUUUAAUCCCAGCAUGGAACCACCAGCACGGCCAGCUAAAGAGAUGCUGGGAACUAGAGGACUUCUUGUUCCAAUGCACAGUGGUUGGAACUGUUGCUUCUCCCCACAGUCCAGCACUGCACUUUGGAGAUCCUCAUCUAAACAAAUCCCAGAAGUUGGAGGCACAGAAACCUGCUGGCUGGUGCAGGAAAAGCCCAAACAAAAGCAGGAUAUAAAUCUCAUAAUAAAUAAAUGGGAAACCUGCAUUUGUAGCAGAUGAGAUAUACAACCCACAGACGUGGCCAACUGACUGAACAAGUUACAAGGAGCACAUUAAACAGCAUGGACCACCAACCUCGGCGGAAGCUGCCACACACCGUCGCAAUGUACUUGGAAUCCACUUCCUUUAUCACAUUAACUACAAUUUCCUGUCAUAUGGAAAAAAGAUGGAGAUAUCAUUUGAUCUCUUUUUCAGUCAUUUGGUUCAUCCACAACAGCAAUUUCUGGCUUGUUUAACCCAGGAAUUGACACUAGCUAGCUGAAGGUGCUUCCACUUUGAAUUAACAACUGAACACCACCUCAUUGCUGGACUUUUAUCAUGACAACCUGGAAAGCUUUAGUUGUUUAAAGGUCAGGAUUCACCUUCAGCAAUAGACAGAAGCCUGGAUUAGGGUUCUUGCUAACCAAACAACAAACCACUGGUCAACUUUGGGUUGCUUAACCUCCAAACAACCAUGAGUUUCCAAGUUCAGACCCCAUAACAUUCUGGAAAUAUGGCGUGCCAGGGUUGUUUACUGAAAGCAGAAGUGACAAGCACGUGAGAGGUAGUGAACUUGCUACCUUCUGUUUGACCUCUACGACCCACAGUUUAAACCACCCCGAGGUAUUAUGCACAAAGUGGAACACUGAGUCUUGUGCCAUUUUCCUUAGCGAGGAAGACAGGCACUCGUGCUCACCUGCAUCUCCAGCAUCUCCUUCCUAGGAAUUCUUUUCUCAAAGUCUUCAAAAUACCUGCACAUUUGAAAGAAACAGGAAUGAGGAAAUAGAGAAAAGGCAGUGUUCCUCAAAACUUAUUUCCAUGCAAGUUCUGCUGAAAUCAAACAUGCUGAUUCUGUGAAGAACCAAAUGAUCUAGAAGAAGCAGAGUCAAACAGUCAGUUAAGCAUUGCUUCGGUCAACGGAGGGGAAGAAGCCACUUGGCAUGACUUCAGCAGCAACACGCUCAUCUGUUCAGUGGGAACUGUGGGCUGUGAUCCCAGGGGAUGGCUGAAAGGGAGCAGAGUCCCACUCGUUGUCUCCGACAAAUUCAAAUACUUCUUCCACUAACAGUGUAGGUUCUUGCACUGACUUUGGAGAACAAGCACACCUGAGCCAAGGCUUCCUCAGUCGCUUCUAAGCACAGGACACAACUGAGUGGGGCUUCCUCCUAGUGUCUGAGAACAGAGAUCAAAUGGCAGGGGGCACAGGAGCCAGGAGAAAUGGGCCCGCAGGAGCCAGGCUGGCCUCGCAAAGGACUGCGAAGACUUUGGGGUGCAGGCAUGGACAACGGCAACUGCACAAAGCCCGAGCAACACCACUGCAAGCAACGUAGUGCUGCUCGGCACUGAGCUGCCCAGAGCUCCCACCCUGCCUGCAGAUUCCUGGGCAAGGAAGCAGGUUUGCGUAGUGGAUGAGUGGCUCGAUCCGCCACACCUCAAGUGAGAACACAGAGCAGACUCACCAUCCAGCGUUUUAAUGCCUUCAUCCACUAGUUUCCUGGCAGCAGCUGGACUGCAAAGCAAGAAGGCAGCUCAUCAGAGAUCCUGACACACCAUUUGAUCAGAUCAGAUCGCAUCUCCAGCUAGCACAACGCUAGUUCUAACUGAGGCACGGCACUGGCAGGUGGCUCACCCAAGGCAAGUGCAAGAAGCCAUCCAGAGAAACCUGCUCGGACAGCGAGCACAGGCUCGCUGGGGUGGGAAAGGUGGCAGCCUGCGAAGGCCUGGGAGUGCACAUAAUUCAGAAGCAACUGCAACAGGGUGGAUAUUGGGCGGCUUGGCCUGUGCGGGGGCCGAGAGGCAGAUCAGUCGCUAGCACCCGUGGCUGUCAACCCGGGUCACCCACAAGACUGACUUGUCUUUGCUCACACAUACAGCCCAGGAGGAGGAACAGCCUGUUGCCGGGUUGUGCGCUGAGGACUGUUCAAACCACUAGCUGCUGCUGCAGGUGAACACAGAGGCACGGGGGUGUGCAGGUGGUGGCGACGGACUGCAGGGACUGGUAAAAAGCAGCACAGCAGCCGCUCUGUGCAGCAGCACACAGUGCUACAGGGGCAUUCGGGGCAGCGACAGCAUUGCAGAAGCAGGAAGAAUCUGCAUGGAUGGUACCACCCGGAAGCAACCAGUUCUCGGGGUGAUGACAAAAAAAGGAAAAGCAUCAGAGGGGUGCAAUGCUUGGACUGCUGGACGGGGGCAGGCAGCUCCAAGGUUCUAGUCUGCUCUUCACCAUGAAGCUCCACGGGUGACUGUGGGCCAGGUUCUUAGCCUAACCUACGUGGCAGGGUUGUGCUUGUGAGGAUAAAAGGACGAGGAGAAUUAUAUACACCACUUAAGGAGGCCCACCAACAGAAUAAACACAAGUGAAGCAAAAGUGGGACAAAAAGACAUUUAGCAUCAUAUAUAGCAAUUGCAGGAGACAACAUAAAAGCAAGGGAAGAGAGUGACAGAGCAAAAUCAGAAACAGGAGCAGCCAAUCCCAAAAAGUUGUAAGACGCAUAUAAAGAAAAGGAGCUCCAGCUGGAAUGGGAGGCUAGACUGGAGGCACCAAGUCAGCCUCCCUGGGAAGGGCAUCCUGCAAUGGCCAAGCCAGGGCAGCAUUUGACUGAUGGCCAGCCAGCUACACCCUGGCUACAUCUAGCAACGGGGAGAGCCUUUCCCCUCUCCAUGCCAGCCUGCAGCUGGAAUCGGCUCCCCCACAAGCUGCAGCUGCAGGGCACGCCUGCCUCAGGCCGGUGACCAGCCACUUCCUAGCCACCUGAAGGCAGCCUUCCGGCCUCCUCCUGCCCCUCCACCAGAGGGAUUGCAGGAUGGGGGCACUGCCGCAGCAGCACCAGAAGGGCAGUUCGGCCCCCUGCAAAAUGUUCCGCAGAGGAACAGCAACCUGCUUGCUGCUCAUCCAAGGGAGCUGGGCACCACUGCUCAGAGGCAAGACUGCUGUUCUCCAUGGGUACCACCACUGCACCCGCUCUCUCCCUCAGACCCCUUUCCUACCCCAAGUUGUUCAAAUGCAUACACAUUUACCCUAUUCCACUAACUCUGGUGAGGAAAUUGAUGGAAGAGCUCGUAUCAUCCUGCCGAAUCUAAAGGGGAUAAAAGUAGACUCAGUCACCUGCAGCCCUGCACAAAGGUGUUCAACCAAGACACAUGAAGCUGAAAGAGCAGCUGGUGGACACGGUCCUGCGCAGCUCAAGAGAGCUUCCUCGGUGGAUCGGGGGCCGCAGAGAACCCUGCCCUUGCUCUGCCCCCUCCUCUCCCUGCUCAAUGGGAGCACCUGGGCCAGUGGCAGCCCAGCAGCAGUGAGACUGCCGGGGCCCAGCGCUAUGUGCAAGGCACACUGGGUGCUCCACACAGGUUUCAGGCGCCGCUAAGGUGGCAGGGAAGAUGCUCUGCUGGGAGCUGGAUUGAUCCCUGGCACCUUCAGGCUGGAAAGACCACUGCCUGCAAACCUAGCAUGCCAUUUUAUUACUGUUUGCCUGAUGAAGAGAUCAGCGUGUCUUAAAAGCAUGCAUGUUUUGUGAUCACUGAGCAAGCCUAAUCAAGGUACCAGACAAAUAUAAAUGUUCAAAUAUCAA